RNAcentral lists this unclassified non-coding RNA (220 nucleotides) under uncultured fungus. Its description in RNAcentral is "sequence contains ITS1, 5.8S rRNA gene". The stretch from base 172 to 220 matches the Rfam family "5.8S ribosomal RNA", at positions 1 to 49 of the family's 154-position model. Lineage: Eukaryota; Fungi. The record is from RNAcentral.
UUUCCGUAGGUGAACCUGCGGAAGGAUCAUUACAUUCAGUAGCCUAGCUACUUGUUUAUACCCUUGUUUUUUGCGUACCUAUUGUUUCCUCGGCGAGCUUGCUCGCUGGUUGGACAAACUUAUAACCUUUUUAAAUCUUGAAUCAGCGUCUGAGUUAUUUACAAUAAUUACAACUUUCAACAACGGAUCUCUUGGUUCUGGCAUCGAUGAAGAACGCAGC